AGUAAGGUCAGCUAAAUAAGCUUUUGGGCCCAUACCCC
This 38-nucleotide transfer RNA is filed under the name Coregonus sardinella (least cisco). RNAcentral describes it as "partial tRNA-Met". RNAcentral also lists the same sequence under 1 other name. Lineage: Eukaryota; Metazoa; Chordata; Actinopteri; Salmoniformes; Salmonidae. The record is from RNAcentral.